Molecule: ribosomal RNA, 559 nt
Filed under: Neotoma albigula (white-throated woodrat)
Lineage: Eukaryota; Metazoa; Chordata; Mammalia; Rodentia; Cricetidae
Description: partial 16S ribosomal RNA
Rfam family: Bacterial large subunit ribosomal RNA
Source: RNAcentral
CAUCACCUCUAGCAUAUCAAGUAUUAGAGGCACUGCCUGCCCAGUGACUAGCGUUAAACGGCCGCGGUAUCCUGACCGUGCAAAGGUAGCAUAAUCAUUUGUUCCUUAAUUAGGGACUGGAAUGAACGGCUUGACGAGGGUUUAACUGUCUCUUAUUUCCAAUCAGUGAAAUUGACCUCCCCGUGAAGAGGCGGGGAUUACAAAAUAAGACGAGAAGACCCUAUGGAGCUUUAAUUUACUAGUUUAAUCCCAACAACAAACAACCUAUUGGCCCAACACACAAAAAUAUAAACUAGUAAUUUUGGUUGGGGUGACCUCGGAGCAUAAAAAAACCUCCGAAUGAUUUUAACCAAGACACACAAGUCUAAGUGACCAAAUAUCUUAUUGACCCAAACUUUUUGAUCAACGGACCAAGUUACCCUAGGGAUAACAGCGCAAUCCUAUUCAAGAGUCCAUAUCGACAAUAGGGUUUACGACCUCGAUGUUGGAUCAGGACAUCCCAAUGGUGCAGAAGCUAUUAAUGGUUCGUUUGUUCAACGAUUAAAGUCCUACGUGAUCA